AAACGGAGAGUAGUAGUUGAAACCUGGGAGAAACGUACCCGUACAAAAAAGUUUCGCAUGAACAUACUUUAUUUGACAUAACCAAAAGUCAAAUAUAGACAGGUAACAAAACGAGUGUAGUGUUUAAAAAUAUCGAUCUUUCAGGCCUCAAGCCACGUUAGCUUUGUGUAUAAGGUCAGGUCGUAACUAUCAAAUAGGGAUAACCUGUACGUAUAGAAGGAGCUACUCAUACCGUCUUAGGUUGUAGGCAAGCAGGAGAUAUAACCCCGAGGUACCGACGGUUAGUUGUCUCGUUCUGGCCUCUGGUGGGAGAGGAGGAGGUUAAACCUCGAGGUACCGGCGGUAAACUAUCCGCGUGAUGGCAGCAACGGAGGAGUGGCGGAGUGGACCCUCUCGCGUCCGUCGCUAUAACGGGUACUGAGCGGAGUACAAGCCAAUUGUUCUACAUCAAGGUAAUCCAGGCAACGAGGAGAAUGUACGUCUCGGAUCCUUAUAAGCUUUGACGUCCAUACGCUCUUCUUUAUAAGAUUUAAUCGUCCGUCGUUUAACUGGUCCAAAUGUUCGAUAAUCUACACGUAAAAAUUCUACGUCAUCAGUAUGAAAGAUGACCUUAAACUGAAUAUUAAGAUUUUUAAACGACUCGUUACGCAGUUGUCUUACGUCGACGUUGAACUAAAUAAAAUACAGUUAACCUGAGAUCUACUUCUGCUUGUGUAGACAAAGAUCUUACAACUGGACAAAGACAUACGUUUUACUUGAUAACCAUGAAAUAUUUUGACUUUAUACCGUUACCAACGACUGUUCCUUAAACACGAAUUACCUAAAGAUAAAAGAGGGAGUAAACUUGGUAUGACUUCUACUAUGCCAGUUUAAUAAACUCCACCGAAUAGGACCAAAUAAAAACAGUAUACUUCACGGUUUAUAGUUAUAAGAUGUAAACGACGGUUAUAAAAUGUUUAAUCGAAGUAAAUAAAUGACCACACGCAGAAAAAAAAGAACU
Molecule: ribosomal RNA, 1000 nt
Filed under: Triticum aestivum (bread wheat)
Lineage: Eukaryota; Viridiplantae; Streptophyta; Magnoliopsida; Poales; Poaceae
Description: partial small subunit ribosomal RNA
Source: RNAcentral